RNAcentral lists this ribosomal RNA (254 nucleotides) under uncultured bacterium. RNAcentral describes it as "partial 16S ribosomal RNA". It matches the Rfam family "Bacterial small subunit ribosomal RNA", at positions 524 to 776 of the family's 1533-position model. The record is from RNAcentral.
UACGUAGGGUGCAAGCGUUAUCCGGAAUUAUUGGGCGUAAAGAGCUCGUAGGCGGUUUGUCGCGUCUGCUGUGAAAACUGGAGGCUCAACCUCCAGCCUGCAGUGGGUACGGGCAGACUAGAGUCCGGAAGAGGAGAGUGGAAUUCCUGGUGUAGCGGUGAAAUGCGCAGAUAUCAGGAGGAACACCGGUGGCGAAGGCGGGUCUCUGGGCCGAAACUGACGCUGAGGAGCGAAAGCGUGGGGGAGCAAACAGG